Molecule: ribosomal RNA, 468 nt
Filed under: uncultured bacterium
Lineage: Bacteria
Description: partial 16S ribosomal RNA
Rfam family: Bacterial small subunit ribosomal RNA
Source: RNAcentral
GACGAACGCUGGCGGCGUGCUUAACACAUGCAAGUCGAACGGUAAGGCCCUGCUUUUGUUGGCUGCUCGAGUGGCAAACGGGUGGGUAACACGUGAGUAACCUGCCCUUGACUUUGAGAUAACUUCAAGUAACGGGGGCUAACACCGGAUCGGAGCUCCUACUGCAUGGUGGUGAGUGGAAAGUUGCGGCGGUUGGGGAUGGACUCGCGGCUUAUCAACUUGUUGGUGGGGUAGUGGCCUAGCAGGGCUUUGACGGGUAGCCGGGCUGAGACGGUGACCGGCCAAAUUGGGACUGAGAUACGGCCCAGACUCGUAUGGGAGGGAGCAGUGGGGAAGAGUGUACAAUGGGCGGAAGGCUGAUGCAGCAACGCCGCGUGCGGGAUGACAGCCUUCGGGUUGUAAACCGAAUUCGCCUGUGACGAGGCGUGAGUGACGGUAAUGGGUAAAGAAGCACCGGCUAACUACGUG